AGUAAGGAAUAUUGCGCAAUGGGCGAAAGCCUGACGCAGCGACGCCGCGUGGGGGAUGAAGGUCUUCGGAUUGUAAACCCCUUUCGGGAGGGAAGAUGGAGCGAGCAAUCGUUCGGACGGUACCUCCAGAAGCAGCCACGGCCAACUUCGUGCCAGCAGCCGCGGUAAUACGAAGGUGGCAAGCGUUGUUCGGAUUCACUGGGCGUACAGGGUGUGUAGGCGGUUUGGUAAGCCUUCUGUUAAAGCUUCGGGCCCAACCCGGAAAGCGCAGAGGGUACUGCCAGGCUAGAGGGUGGGAGAGGAGCGCGGAAUUCCCGGUGUAGCGGUGAAAUGCGUAGAGAUCGGGAGGAAGGCCGGUGGCGAAGGCGGCGCUCUGGAACAUACCUGACGCUGAGACACGAAAGCGUGGGGAGCAAA
Molecule: ribosomal RNA, 417 nt
Filed under: uncultured Nitrospira sp.
Lineage: Bacteria; Pseudomonadati; Nitrospirota; Nitrospiria; Nitrospirales; Nitrospiraceae
Description: bacterial SSU rRNA
Rfam family: Bacterial small subunit ribosomal RNA
Source: RNAcentral